RNAcentral lists this long non-coding RNA (1710 nucleotides) under Olea europaea subsp. europaea. Lineage: Eukaryota; Viridiplantae; Streptophyta; Magnoliopsida; Lamiales; Oleaceae. The record is from RNAcentral.
GUUUGACUAAAAACAAAACAAACCCCAUAAAGGCUUCACUUUCUCAUCACUUAUGCCUCUCGUACUUGUUGGUUCCUCCCAUCUCUCCCGACGAUCACCCUUACUAGAUUUACUGUUGUUCUUGCCGGCGCUGUCGUCCCAAUAUCUGGCUACUGUCAAUCCGUCAGAAGACAUCUUUAUCAUUGUCAUAUUAUCGAUGCCCAAAGUGCAACAAAGCUGCCAAUUUAGCCCUCCCCUGUCGUCGUCUUCUCCUGCUGUCGUCAUCAGAUUGUAGACUACAAAUACUAGCAGCUGCGUAGCAUUUCUUGAAGGUUAGAUUUUUGGGAUUUUGAACAAAAUAUUUAUGGGUUUUUUUGUACCUACUGUAGAUGGUUUGAAACUACAAGAUUUUCGACUUUUUCAAUAAACAAUUCUGCUAUGUUUCUUGCAUUGGGCAGUUCUGAAAUUGGAUAAUUUAUGAGCUUGUUGAGAAGUUGUGAAAAGGAUGUGAUGUUCAUGUAUUUGUAUAUGUAGUUGUGAAUGGGACAAUUCUGCUAUUUUUGCACCUAGAACAAUCUUAACAAAUGUUAUAUGCAUUUGUAUUUGUUGCUCCACAUAAAGGGAUUCAAAUAUAAAGCUUCGAAUUGGUACAAAUAUGAAUCAGACCCAUCAGUUUCUGCAUUCCCAUUUCAAAGAAAUUUACCUUGCUCAGUUAAAUUGGAUGAAGUUGGGUUAGCAGAAUAGGUUGCUUGGUUUGGAGUGACAAUCUGAACAAAUGUGAUAUAUAUGUAUUUGUUCUUACUUGGUUUGGAGUGACACUAAUAUACUAGUUUGUAGUUGUCUGGAUAAUGGAAUACAAGUUUUUAUGCCUAGGAAUUCAUGUAAUUAAAGUUUGGAAGGUAAAGGCCUUUAUUUCUUUAAAAUUGAUUUGGCUUCCAAAUUUGAAGCCAUAAACAAAUGUAAUGUGAUGAUCAACUUGCUUUUUUGGAAUUUUUAUGCUGUAAUGUACAGAAAUUGCUAUAUGUUAUUAUGUGAAAUUUGGUAUCAACUUGCUAGUAUAGAAUUCAGAGUAUCAAAACCAUUGAUAAUUUGAAGAAGUUGGUAGCUAUAUGUACACUAACUACAAUGUACGUGGUGGUUUUUUCCAAGUAGGGAUGAGAGGCAAGAAUUACGGUGUUUGUCACAGCUGUAGAAGUACAUAUCACUUUUUCGAAGAAUACCACAAAAAACUACGUUGUCCAUGAUGUGUAGAGGGAAUCCAAAAAUGUUUCGAGAUUCAAAAGGAGGGCAAUAACAAAGGUUGACUAUUCAAAAUGUGCAAUAAUGAUUGCAGAUUUUUUAACUGGGUAAAAGAAGAAGCAAACGAAGAGUCGAGUACCAUUAAUGACACAAUAAAUCCUACUAUGAACGAGGAAGUGAACGAAUUGCAAAAUAUGUUCGAAAGUCUAGCUCUAAUAGCCGAGAACCGAAACGUCGAGGUUUCGUUGAAUGUGACGCUCCGCAAAGGAAAAGAGCCCUCAGAAGAUAAUGGAAAACAAAAGGGCUUGGCAUAAUGUGGUGUUAUACUCGAUGUUGCAGUCUUCUCUUUAGUGUGUCUUUAGUUUGUUGGGCUAAUUGCUAGCUUUUUAAUUCAUGUAGAAUGGUGUAAUCUACUUUAGUUUUGUAAUGAUUAGAUUUGCAGCUAUUUUAGUUUUGAAUGAGGAAUAGUUUAUGGUUCAUACUGUUGCUGUG